UUAGAAAAAUAGGAAUUGAAC
This 21-nucleotide transfer RNA is filed under the name Rhinella merianae. RNAcentral's name for it is "partial tRNA-Gln". The record is from RNAcentral. Lineage: Eukaryota; Metazoa; Chordata; Amphibia; Anura; Bufonidae.